This 462-nucleotide ribosomal RNA is filed under the name uncultured bacterium. RNAcentral's name for it is "partial 16S ribosomal RNA". It matches the Rfam family "Bacterial small subunit ribosomal RNA", at positions 355 to 808 of the family's 1533-position model. The record is from RNAcentral.
UAGGGAAUCUUCCACAAUGGACGAAAGUCUGAUGGAGCAACGCCGCGUGAGUGAUGAAGGGUUUCGGCUCGUAAAACUCUGUUGUUGGAGAAGAACAGGUGUCAGAGUAACUGUUGACAUCUUGACGGUAUCCAACCAGAAAGCCACGGCUAACUACGUGCCAGCAGCCGCGGUAAUACGUAGGUGGCAAGCGUUGUCCGGAUUUAUUGGGCGUAAAGCGAGCGCAGGCGGUUUCUUAGGUCUGAUGUGAAAGCCUUCGGCUUAACCGGAGAAGUGCAUCGGAAACCAGGAGACUUGAGUGCAGAAGAGGACAGUGGAACUCCAUGUGUAGCGGUGAAAUGCGUAGAUAUAUGGAAGAACACCAGUGGCGAAGGCGGCUGUCUGGUCUGUAACUGACGCUGAGGCUCGAAAGCAUGGGUAGCGAACAGGAUUAGAUACCCUUGGUAGUCCAUGCCGUAAACG